This is a long non-coding RNA of Neogale vison (American mink), 131 nucleotides long. RefSeq lists it as uncharacterized. The record is from RefSeq and is a predicted model, not a curated record. NCBI's taxonomy places the organism in Eukaryota, Metazoa, Chordata, Mammalia, Carnivora, Mustelidae. The transcript is spliced from 3 exons.
UUUAUGGCAAGGAUACUCUGAAUGUUCCCUAGUCAAGAACAACCGUGUCUUCCAUGAUUGGCACCAUUGUCAGGAUAUCAUGCCUGGAGACACAGCAGCCAUCCUGUAGCCUUGAGAACAAAAGUCACUCA